CCUACGGGAGGCAGCAGUGGGGAAUCUUGCGCAAUGGGCGAAAGCCUGACGCAGCAACGCCGCGUGCGGGAAGAAGGCUUUCGGGCUGUAAACCGCUUUCAGCAGGAACGAAAAUGACGGUACCUGCAGAAGAAGGAGCGGCCAACUAUGUGCCAGCAGCCGCGGUGAUACAUAGGCUUCAAGCGUUGUCCGGAUUUAUUGGGCGUAAAGAGUUCGUAGGCGGUCAAGUAAGUCGGGUGUGAAAAUUCUGGGCUCAACCCAGAGACGCCACCCGAUACUGCUUAACUUGAGUUCGAUAGGGGAGUGGGGAAUUCCUAGUGUAGCGGUGAAAUGCGCAGAUAUUAGGAGGAACACCGGUGGCGAAGGCGCCACUCUGGAUCGAUACUGACGCUGAGGAACGAAAGCAUGGGUAGCAAACAGGAUUAGAUACCCUGGUAGUCCAUGCCGUAAACGGUGGGCACUAGGUGUGGGUUUCUAUUAACGAAAUCCGCGCCGUCGCUAACGCAUUAAGUGCCCCGCCUGGGGAGUACGGUCGCAAGCUAAAACUCAAAGGAAUUNACGGCNGNGAGNGCGACGACGACGACGAGGAGAG
RNAcentral lists this ribosomal RNA (592 nucleotides) under uncultured bacterium. RNAcentral describes it as "bacterial SSU rRNA". It matches the Rfam family "Bacterial small subunit ribosomal RNA", at positions 338 to 948 of the family's 1533-position model. The record is from RNAcentral.